RNAcentral lists this ribosomal RNA (234 nucleotides) under uncultured bacterium. RNAcentral describes it as "partial 16S ribosomal RNA". It matches the Rfam family "Bacterial small subunit ribosomal RNA", at positions 84 to 334 of the family's 1533-position model. The record is from RNAcentral.
CUUGGCGGCGAGCGGCGGACGGCUGAGUAACGCGUGGGAAUCUGCCCCAAAGUGAGGGAUAACUGCCCGAAAGGGUAGCUAAUACCGCAUAUGGUCUUCGGAUUAAAGCAUUUAUUCGCUUUGGGAGGAGCCCGCGUCGGAUUAGGUAGUUGGUAGGGUAAUGGCCUACCAAGCCGCGAUCCGUAGCUGGUCUGAGAGGAUGAUCAGCCAGACUGGGACUGAGACACGGCCCAG